This 332-nucleotide unclassified non-coding RNA is filed under the name soil metagenome. RNAcentral describes it as "partial contains 5.8S ribosomal RNA, internal transcribed spacer 2, and large subunit ribosomal RNA". The stretch from base 1 to 120 matches the Rfam family "5.8S ribosomal RNA", at positions 35 to 154 of the family's 154-position model. The record is from RNAcentral.
GAUGAAGAACGUAGCAAAAUGCGAUAAGUAAUGUGAAUUGCAGAAUUCAGUGAAUCAUCGAAUCUUUGAACGCACAUUGCGCCCGCCAGUAUUCUGGCGGGCAUGCCUGUUCGAGCGUCAUUUCAACCCUCAAGCACAGCUUGGUGUUGGGACUCGCGUUAAUUCGCGUUCCCCAAAUUGAUUGGCGGUCACGUCGAGCUUCCAUAGCGUAGUAGUAAAACCCUCGUUACUGGUAAUCGUCGCGGCCACGCCGUUAAACCCCAUCUUCUGAUUGUUGACCUCGGAUCAGGUAGGAAUACCCGCUGAACUUAAGCAUAUCAAUAAGCGGAGGA